UUCACACCCAGUUUUAAGAAACGGUAUAGAAAAAUUUAGUUGUAAGAACUGGAUGCCCGUUUUCCCAGUGGUAAAUCUUAUUUUAAAACAAAACAAAACAAACCACCAUCACCAACAAAACACUAUGAUCCAAUAUCACAACCAGGAUGUUGGCAUUGACACAGUCAAGGUACAGUACUUUCCAUCACUUUGGGAUUCUCCAUGUUACUUUUUUUAUGGCCACAGUUUCUUCUCUCCUGCACCCACCACCUCAAUCUCUGGAAACCUCUAACCUGCUCUCUAUUUCUAUUAUAUUCUUAUUUAUAGAAUAUGGCAUAGCCUUUUAAGAUUUGCCUUUCCCUCAGCACAAUUAUCUGGAAAUGUAUCCAGGUUGUAUCAACAUUAUUCUUUUUCUUGCACAAGAACAUUUCACAUUGUUGGGAGUGGUGAAUGCAUUAUGGUCCUUGAGCUGUCACAGAAGCAAUGCCCCUUCUGAGAACUCUCAGCACAAAGACAUCAAUUUGAGACCCCCCAGUUGCUGCGGUGACACCCUGUUCCAAAGGAGGUUCUGGCUGGGUGCAGUGGUGCAAGCCUGUAAUCCCAGCGGUGGAGGAGGCUGAGGCAGGAGGAUUGCUAGUUCAAAGCCAGCCCCAGCAAUUUAGUGAGGCAUUAAGCAACUCAGUGAGACCCUGUCUCUAAAUAAAAUCAAAAUAGGGCUGGGGAUGUGGCUCAGUGGUCGAGUGCCCCUGAGUUCAAUCCUGGUACCCAAAACAAAACACAACAAAAGGAGGUUCUGUGCCAGACCCAGAAUUAUCAGUUCAAAUGCCAGCUGCCCCCAGGGUAGAGAAUUGUGGGUGCAAUCUGAUAUUUUGAAUUGAGCUAUUUAUACCCUCAUACUCCUCGGUUCUGUUUAUCUUGAAGAAACUUCCUCACGAUAAAUCCUUUUAAUGUUAAAACCUAUAUAAUAAUUCAUAGUCACUGCUUUCCUACCAGAGUUGUUAGUGAACCACUAGGACCCGUCUUUUUCUCUAUUUGUGUGUCUGUCUGUCUUUUCUUCACCCUCUCACCACCCGGUUCAGUUACCUGAAUUAAUGGCCUUGCAGGUCACGGCACCAUAGUUUGGAUGUGCCACCAUUUGCCUAGCCAUUCAUUCAUUCAUGGAAGGACACCUGAAUUGUUUACAAUUUGGAGCUCUUGAGAUUAAAGCUGCUAAAAAUUCAUGUACAGGUUUGUGUAUGAACAUAGAUUUCCCUUUUUCUGGGAUAAAUGGCCAAGAGAGCAAUUGCCAGUGUGUAGUCAUUGUAUAUAUUUUUUUUAAAAGCCACACAUUGUUUUCCGUGGUGGCAGUACCAUUUUACAUACUACCGGGAACACAGAAAUGGCCUAGUUUGUCCACUACCUGUCCCAUUUGGAAAAGUUGAGGAGUAUUAUUUAGAUUCAGCUAGAGGUUCAGGUGUUUGUGGAUUCUUUAACAGAAUUUCUUCUUCCUUCACUUUGUAAAACACUGAUAUUCUGUGUGCUGGGAUAGGGGGUGACAUUAGUGAUAAAAGACAACUGCCAUCCAAAUAAAACAGCCCACCACGUUUUUCCCUCUAGAAUGACAAGAAAGGAAACCAUAUACUUGCUGGACUUCCUACUCAGUUUUAAACAAUAUCAGAAAAGAUGAGGCAUCCCUGGGGCUUCUGAGUGGUGUGUGACAGGAUUUAGGCUGCGACCUUGAUUGGCCAUGGGAACCACACACGUGGGACAAACCAGGAGGUAGGCGACGCCUUCACCAGGCUUCUUGGGAUCGUCACCUGCAGAGAUUCUGUAUGUUGUCUUGUCUGAACCCAACUUGGAUUAAAAUCUGCCUCUAAGAGGGAGAAACUUGGCUUUAAUGUUUGUGACCUCAGUCAUUCUGCAAUUCUCAUUCUUCAAAACAAAACUGAGAAGUAGGAAAGUUGUCUUCAGUCCCCCGUGAUUGCCCGUAGCGUCUUAACCUUGUUUCCACCUCUUCCAGAGGCCCAGUGCCUCCUCAGCUCUCCCUCUCCUCUUCAGCCUUGCCUUUCAAGAACAUCAAAAUCACCUACUGUCUAGCGCCUUAAUUAUUCAUGUUUUACUUAACAUAUGUUUAUAUAGUGCUUACUAUUUGUUAGGCAUUGUCUUGUGAGUUUAUACAUAGGAACUCCAUUAAAACUCACAAUUGAUCCGAGAGUUAGGAAUUAUUAGGGCCUCAACUUCUCAGAUGAAGGAACUUAGGCACAGAGCAGUCAGGUAACUUGCCCGAGGUCCCACAGCUCAUAAGUGACAGAGGUGAGAUACAAGCAUGAGGUUGACUCCAGAAUCCAUGUUCUCCAUUGUCACAUGAAGAUGACUUUCCAUUAUUGACAAAUAUGCCUGAAACUUUUAUUGUUCUCAAGGCCCUUGAUUCCAAAGGACAGAAACCUUCAGGUAAAGAAAUGAAAUAUUUGGUGUGCAAGUGACAUGUAUAGAGGGGCACAACUGCCUUAAUCAUAUCCGAUCCCGUCACUCAGGACCCCCACAAGCAAGAAUUUAGUGCAUGUAACAGCUCUGUCUCAUGCAGAUUCUUUCAGAGAAUUGCAACUAACAUUUCGGAAAAAGAAUUACUAUGGGCCAGAGAAUGUGCUGGAAUUGCAUUUUAUCAACAACAGGGUGGGGCAGGCAGGAGUGAGCAUUUUUAGAGGUUAGCAAAUGGAAGCAUCAGGUGGCUACAUAAUUCAUUAAGUCACACAACUCCAAAACAGAGGUCCCAGUUCCAUCUGAACCCAGUACUUCGUCUCUUUUUACUACACAAAAUUGACUUAAAGGAAGGUCAAAGCUUCUGGUUUUUUGUGUUCUUUAUUUUUGGUCCGAGCGUCAGUUUGGCAAAUGGCAAAGUAAGAAUAGAAGCUUCCAUUUCCUCACCCGUGAGUCAGUUACUCCCCCAGAUUUUCUCAUCUUAGAACAGGCCACCACCCUCACCUCAGGUGCCGGGAUCAAUAACCCAGGACUUUGGCCUUUUAUUUCUUCCUUUUGCCAUCUCUGGUUUGCAAUUUGCCAAUUCCUCUCAUUCUGCUUCCAAAAUGCGUCAUGGGGCUGGGGUUACAGGCACACACCACUGCACCCACCAUAAUACACAUUUUUAAAAGCAGUGUCUAGACCUGUCUGAUAGAUUUUCCUAAAUGGUUUUGGCCCUUUAAGAUUUUUUUUUCCUAUAAAUUAGCAACAAGUACCUAAAAUAGUUUGUCCUCCUUUUAAUUUUCUAAUCUCCUUACUAACAAGAUAGGGAAUAGCUUCCACAGACGUAAAAAGAAGAAGAGGAAAGAUCAUUGGGUCCAAAACCUGUGAUCUGGAUCAUUAGAUGGUGUCCCUUUAAGAUAUGCCUUUUCACAGAGAGGCAGGGGACAGCCACAGGUCUCCCACUCCAUAGGGUUCAAGGCUGGACUCUUCUUCCACAAAAGGUGCCCUGAUGUGUGCACAGAGAUACCAUCACAGCAUCAUUGCAAUAUUUCAAGGACAAUGCCAGGGGCCUGGGUCACAACACCCAAAAACAGACAUUUGAUGGGAAUAUCAUGAUGCCAUUAAAAUAACAGUAGCAAAAAAAAAAUGUUAAAACCCAGGGAAACCAGGAUGCUAUAAGAGUAAGUGUAUACAGACGGCCUCCAAUUGACGUGCACUAGAAUGUGACACCAUAUGUGCUGCCCUCUUGAAGCUUACCUUAGUUCAGGAAUCAUUCCUGAUUGAGACAGACGAGAAUCCUGGGACCAGACAGGACCUCUUUCUUGAUCUAUGGCACCAUGCUAUUGAUCCAUCCCUAAGCUCUUCUUCCUGAUCUAACAUCCUUUCUACAGGGUAGAAAGGACAGUGAAGUGAAUCAAUGAAUUGGAAACACACCAAAAUAUUAAUAUCGUUUAUCAUUGCAGGAUUUUUUUUUAUUCCUCUUUGUUUUGUAAAUAUUCUAACAUUUUUUUUAAAUGAAUACAGUUAUGGCUGGGGAUGUAGCUCAGUGACACAGUGCUUGUUUACCAUGCCUGAAUCCCUGCGUACAGCCCUCAAUACUGAAAAGUAAAAAAUCCAGAGUUCUUGGGCUGGAGAUGUAACUCAGUGGUAGAGCAUGUUAGGCCCUGGGUUUGCUCCCCAGCACCACCAAAUCAAAUAAAAUAAAUAAAACAUAAAAACAUAAACCCCACCAUUAUUCUUUUUUAAAGUUUCCCUGGGAACUUUAAAAAGACAGCGGCUGUGGGCCCACACCUUCCGCCCUGCCCUCGCAAAGGUGUAAAUAAAGAACCACUCGGCGGGUGCCUUCCUUUUGUUGCUUGCUCAACUUUCCCUGUGGGACUAUGCUCUGACCGGAAGUCUGUGGGUGGGGUGCUGCUCUGUUUUUUGUUGCUGUUGUAGCUUCUUUGGGCUGAUAAACUAGCACUUAAAUGUUUCCCUUUUCCAAACCCCCAAAUGACAAGUGUCUUUGUGGUGAGGCGACAGCCCAACUGUCACUGCCAAUACGAACAGUCCUGGGGACACUUAUUUUUAGUUUACUGUCUAAGCAAGUCCUGGGCUGGGUAAUGAGGACCUCAGGGUCCAAAGCCCCAGGAUCCUGUGCAGGGAGCAUUUAAGGAAAAGGAAAGGUGGAGUGACCAGAGCUCUUCUCCAGGUAGACCAGAAAGAAAACCAGAGACCAACAAUCCUCCUUUUACGUGGCUUAAUGUUAUUGAACAUGCUGUAAACAGAAACAUGCUGAGAUUAUUUGAAUAAACGUAAACCCAGGUAGCCUUGGGGAGCUAAUUAUAGCAACAAGGUUGAGGAUAACUCCCAGGGACUGUGGCAGACAGCUGCUACUAUGACCUGCUCAGCCACCUGUUUCCCCUUCAGCUAACAGAACCUUGGAAUUCG
This 4848-nucleotide long non-coding RNA is filed under the name Marmota monax (woodchuck). Lineage: Eukaryota; Metazoa; Chordata; Mammalia; Rodentia; Sciuridae. The record is from RNAcentral.